AUUGACGCCAUGAGCGCGCUGCUGCGGCUGCUGCGCACGGGUGCCCCAGCCGCUGCGUGCCUGCGGUUGGGGACCAGUGCAGGGACCGGGUCGCGCCGUGCUAUGGCCCUGUACCACACUGAGGAGCGCGGCCAGCCCUGCUCGCAGAAUUACCGCCUCUUCUUUAAGAAUGUAACUGGUCACUACAUUUCCCCCUUUCAUGAUAUUCCUCUGAAGGUGAACUCUAAAGAGGAAAAUGGCAUUCCUAUGAAGAAAGCACGAAAUGAUGAAUAUGAGAAUCUGUUUAAUAUGAUUGUAGAAAUACCUCGGUGGACAAAUGCUAAAAUGGAGAUUGCCACCAAGGAGCCAAUGAAUCCCAUUAAACAAUAUGUAAAGGAUGGAAAGCUACGCUAUGUGGCGAAUAUCUUCCCUUACAAGGGUUAUAUAUGGAAUUAUGGUACCCUCCCUCAGACUUGGGAAGAUCCCCAUGAAAAAGAUAAGAGCACGAACUGCUUUGGAGAUAAUGAUCCUAUUGAUGUUUGCGAAAUAGGCUCAAAGAUUCUUUCUUGUGGAGAAGUUAUUCAUGUGAAGAUCCUUGGAAUUUUGGCUCUUAUUGAUGAAGGUGAAACAGAUUGGAAAUUAAUUGCUAUCAAUGCGAAUGAUCCUGAAGCCUCAAAGUUUCAUGAUAUUGAUGAUGUUAAGAAGUUCAAACCGGGUUACCUGGAAGCUACUCUUAAUUGGUUUAGAUUAUAUAAGGUACCAGAUGGAAAACCAGAAAACCAGUUUGCUUUUAAUGGAGAAUUCAAAAACAAGAAGAUCUAAGUGAAUCAACAAGGCUGAAAAAUAUAUAUUUCCAUCUAUGUGUCUAUAGCUCCUACGUCUUGGAAAAUGAAGGAAUUUCAUGAUCAGACUAAUUUUGCAAAUUGUGUACAUAGAAAAACUUUCUAUUUACUGUUUUGUGGAGGAGAAAGUUACUCGCCCUUAAUGUAAAUCCAUAGGGGCCUCCCUCCUAAGUGUUCAUUCUACCACGACGGAACUAAGCUGCUUAACAAUUGAAAGGACACCUGAAUUAUCUUACUGUCAUAGGAUUUUUCUAUUAGAAUACCACUGAGUUACCACAAAGUAUCUCUAAUAUGACACAAAUGGAGAGAAUAGACCAAAGAGUUAAAGUCUAAAGCAUGGAAUUUUUUUUAAAGUUAUUACCACUAGGUAAAUUGAAUAUUUGAAACCAACUUUUAAGUGGAUACCAGUAAGUAUGUUUUAUAAGUGAAAUAAGGCAUGUUAAUGAAAACUUAAAAUUUAUAAUGGGUAUUUUGCUGUAAAAGAAUUGAUUGCUGGACUCAGUGUUUUUUUGAAAGCACAUUAAAAGAAUCCUUC
RNAcentral lists this small RNA (1356 nucleotides) under Pan troglodytes (chimpanzee). RNAcentral describes it as "processed transcript". The record is from RNAcentral. Lineage: Eukaryota; Metazoa; Chordata; Mammalia; Primates; Hominidae.